This 1453-nucleotide ribosomal RNA is filed under the name Escherichia coli. Its description in RNAcentral is "bacterial SSU rRNA". It matches the Rfam family "Bacterial small subunit ribosomal RNA". The record is from RNAcentral. Lineage: Bacteria; Pseudomonadati; Pseudomonadota; Gammaproteobacteria; Enterobacterales; Enterobacteriaceae.
GAGUGGCGGACGGGUGAGUAAUGUCUGGGAAACUGCCUGAUGGAGGGGGAUAACUACUGGAAACGGUAGCUAAUACCGCAUAACGUCGCAAGACCAAAGAGGGGGACCUUCGGGCCUCUUGCCAUCGGAUGUGCCCAGAUGGGAUUAGCUUGUUGGUGGGGUAACGGCUCACCAAGGCGACGAUCCCUAGCUGGUCUGAGAGGAUGACCAGCCACACUGGAACUGAGACACGGUCCAGACUCCUACGGGAGGCAGCAGUGGGGAAUAUUGCACAAUGGGCGCAAGCCUGAUGCAGCCAUGCCGCGUGUAUGAAGAAGGCCUUCGGGUUGUAAAGUACUUUCAGCGGGGAGGAAGGGAGUAAAGUUAAUACCUUUGCUCAUUGACGUUACCCGCAGAAGAAGCACCGGCUAACUCCGUGCCAGCAGCCGCGGUAAUACGGAGGGUGCAAGCGUUAAUCGGAAUUACUGGGCGUAAAGCGCACGCAGGCGGUUUGUUAAGUCAGAUGUGAAAUCCCCGGGCUCAACCUGGGAACUGCAUCUGAUACUGGCAAGCUUGAGUCUCGUAGAGGGGGGUAGAAUUCCAGGUGUAGCGGUGAAAUGCGUAGAGAUCUGGAGGAAUACCGGUGGCGAAGGCGGCCCCCUGGACGAAGACUGACGCUCAGGUGCGAAAGCGUGGGGAGCAAACAGGAUUAGAUACCCUGGUAGUCCACGCCGUAAACGAUGUCGACUUGGAGGUUGUGCCCUUGAGGCGUGGCUUCCGGAGCUAACGCGUUAAGUCGACCGCCUGGGGAGUACGGCCGCAAGGUUAAAACUCAAAUGAAUUGACGGGGGCCCGCACAAGCGGUGGAGCAUGUGGUUUAAUUCGAUGCAACGCGAAGAACCUUACCUGGUCUUGACAUCCACGGAAGUUUUCAGAGAUGAGAAUGUGCCUUCGGGAACCGUGAGACAGGUGCUGCAUGGCUGUCGUCAGCUCGUGUUGUGAAAUGUUGGGUUAAGUCCCGCAACGAGCGCAACCCUUAUCCUUUGUUGCCAGCGGUCCGGCCGGGAACUCAAAGGAGACUGCCAGUGAUAAACUGGAGGAAGGUGGGGAUGACGUCAAGUCAUCAUGGCCCUUACGACCAGGGCUACACACGUGCUACAAUGGCGCAUACAAAGAGAAGCGACCUCGCGAGAGCAAGCGGACCUCAUAAAGUGCGUCGUAGUCCGGAUUGGAGUCUGCAACUCGACUCCAUGAAGUCGGAAUCGCUAGUAAUCGUGGAUCAGAAUGCCACGGUGAAUACGUUCCCGGGCCUUGUACACACCGCCCGUCACACCAUGGGAGUGGGUUGCAAAAGAAGUAGGUAGCUUAACCUUCGGGAGGGCGCUUACCACUUUGUGAUUCAUGACUGGGGUGAAGUCGUAACAAGGUAACCGUAGGGGAACCUGCGGUUGGAUCACCUCCUUACCUUAAAGAA